This 66-nucleotide small nucleolar RNA is filed under the name Drosophila mojavensis. Its description in RNAcentral is "snoRNA:GI25339". Lineage: Eukaryota; Metazoa; Arthropoda; Insecta; Diptera; Drosophilidae. The record is from RNAcentral.
UUUUUAUGAUGAAUAAUAAUACCGCCCCAGUCGGAAUUAUAAUGAAGAUUGGAUUUUGUUACUGAU